UGCUUUACACAUGCAAGUCGAGCGGCAGCGCGGAGGCAACCCUGGCGGCGAGCGGCGAACGGGUGAGUAACACAUCGGAACGUAUCCAGUUGUGGGGGAUAGCCCGGCGAAAGCCGGAUUAAUACCGCAUACGACCUGAGGGUGAAAGUGGGGGAUCGCAAGACCUCACGCAGUUGGAGCGGCCGAUGGCGGAUUAGCUAGUUGGUGAGGUAAAGGCUCACCAAGGCGACGACCCGUAGCUGGUCUGAGAGGACGACCAGCCACACUGGAACUGAGACACGGUCCAGACUCCUACGGGAGGCAGCAGUGGGGAAUUUUGGACAAUGGGGGCAACCCUGAUCCAGCCAUUCCGCGUGAGUGAAGAAGGCCUUCGGGUUGUAAAGCUC
RNAcentral lists this ribosomal RNA (386 nucleotides) under uncultured organism. Its description in RNAcentral is "bacterial SSU rRNA". It matches the Rfam family "Bacterial small subunit ribosomal RNA", at positions 45 to 433 of the family's 1533-position model. The record is from RNAcentral.